UCCUGACUGACCGAUAGUGAACCAGUACCGUGAGGGAAAGGCGAAAAGAACCCCGGCGAGGGGAGUGAAAAAGAACCUGAAACCGUGUACGUACAAGCAGUGGGAGCACGCUUAGGCGUGUGACUGCGUACCUUUUGUAUAAUGGGUCAGCGACUUAUAUUCUGUAGCAAGGUUAACCGAAUAGGGGAGCCGAAGGGAAACCGAGUCUUAACUGGGCGUUAAGUUGCAGGGUAUAGACCCGAAACCCGGUGAUCUAGCCAUGGGCAGGUUGAAGGUUGGGUAACACUAACUGGAGGACCGAACCGACUAAUGUUGAAAAAUUAGCGGAUGACUUGUGGCUGGGGGUGAAAGGCCAAUCAAACCGGGAGAUAGCUGGUUCUCCCCGAAAGCUAUUUAGGUAGCGCCUCGUGAAUUCAUCUCCGGGGGUAGAGCACUGUUUCGGCAAGGGGGUCAUCCCGACUUACCAACCCGAUGCAAACUGCGAAUACCGGAGAAUGUUAUCACGGGAGACACACGGCGGGUGCUAACGUCCGUCGUGAAGAGGGAAACAACCCAGACCGCCAGCUAAGGUCCCAAAGUCAUGGUUAAGUGGGAAACGAUGUGGGAAGGCCCAGACAGCCAGGAUGUUGGCUUAGAAGCAGCCAUCAUUUAAAGAAAGCGUAAUAGCUCACUGGUCGAGUCGGCCUGCGCGGAAGAUGUAACGGGGCUAAACCAUGCACCGAAGCUGCGGCAGCGACGCUUAUGCGUUGUUGGGUAGGGGAGCGUUCUGUAAGCCUGCGAAGGUGUGCUGUGAGGCAUGCUGGAGGUAUCAGAAGUGCGAAUGCUGACAUAAGUAACGAUAAAGCGGGUGAAAAGCCCGCUCGCCGGAAGACCAAGGGUUCCUGUCCAACGUUAAUCGGGGCAGGGUGAGUCGACCCCUAAGGCGAGGCCGAAAGGCGUAGUCGAUGGGAAACAGGUUAAUAUUCCUGUACUUGGUGUUACUGCGAAGGGGGGACGGAGAAGGCUAUGUUGGCCGGGCGACGGUUGUCCCGGUUUAAGCGUGUAGGCUGGUUUUCCAGGCAAAUCCGGAAAAUCAAGGCUGAGGCGUGAUGACGAGGCACUACGGUGCUGAAGCAACAAAUGCCCUGCUUCCAGGAAAAGCCUCUAAGCAUCAGGUAACAUCAAAUCGUACCCCAAACCGACACAGGUGGUCAGGUAGAGAAUACCAAGGCGCUUGAGAGAACUCGGGUGAAGGAACUAGGCAAAAUGGUGCCGUAACUUCGGGAGAAGGCACGCUGAUAUGUAGGUGAAGUCCCUUGCGGAUGGAGCUGAAAUCAGUCGAAGAUACCAGCUGGCUGCAACUGUUUAUUAAAAACACAGCACUGUGCAAACACGAAAGUGGACGUAUACGGUGUGACGCCUGCCCGGUGCCGGAAGGUUAAUUGAUGGGGUCAGCGCAAGCGAAGCUCUUGAUCGAAGCCCCGGUAAACGGCGGCCGUAACUAUAACGGUCCUAAGGUAGCGAAAUUCCUUGUCGGGUAAGUUCCGACCUGCACGAAUGGCGUAAUGAUGGCCAGGCUGUCUCCACCCGAGACUCAGUGAAAUUGAACUCGCUGUGAAGAUGCAGUGUACCCGCGGCAAGACGGAAAGACCCCGUGAACCUUUACUAUAGCUUGACACUGAACAUUGAGCCUUGAUGUGUAGGAUAGGUGGGAGGCUUUGAAGUGUGGACGCCAGUCUGCAUGGAGCCGGCCUUGAAAUACCACCCUUUAAUGUUUGAUGUUCUAACGUGGACCCGUGAUCCGGGUUGCGGACAGUGUCUGGUGGGUAGUUUGACUGGGGCGGUCUCCUCCUAAAGAGUAACGGAGGAGCACGAAGGUUGGCUAAUCCUGGUCGGACAUCAGGAGGUUAGUGCAAUGGCAUAAGCCAGCUUGACUGCGAGCGUGACGGCGCGAGCAGGUGCGAAAGCAGGUCAUAGUGAUCCGGUGGUUCUGAAUGGAAGGGCCAUCGCUCAACGGAUAAAAGGUACUCCGGGGAUAACAGGCUGAUACCGCCCAAGAGUUCAUAUCGACGGCGGUGUUUGGCACCUCGAUGUCGGCUCAUCACAUCCUGGGGCUGAAGUAGGUCCCAAGGGUAUGGCUGUUCGCCAUUUAAAGUGGUACGCGAGCUGGGUUUAGAACGUCGUGAGACAGUUCGGUCCCUAUCUGCCGUGGGCGCUGGAGAACUGAGGGGGGCUGCUCCUAGUACGAGAGGACCGGAGUGGACGCAUCACUGGUGUUCGGGUUGUCAUGCCAAUGGCACUGCCCGGUAGCUAAAUGCGGAAGAGAUAAGUGCUGAAAGCAUCUAAGCACGAAACUUGCCCCGAGAUGAGUUCUCCCUGACCCUUUAAGGGUCCUGAAGGAACGUUGA
RNAcentral lists this ribosomal RNA (2387 nucleotides) under Escherichia coli. RNAcentral's name for it is "partial 23S ribosomal RNA". It matches the Rfam family "Bacterial large subunit ribosomal RNA", at positions 474 to 2841 of the family's 2925-position model. RNAcentral also lists the same sequence under 1 other name. The record is from RNAcentral. Lineage: Bacteria; Pseudomonadati; Pseudomonadota; Gammaproteobacteria; Enterobacterales; Enterobacteriaceae.